UGGGGAAUAUUGGACAAUGGGGGCAACCCUGAUCCAGCCAUGCCGCGUGAGUGAUGAAGGCCUUCGGGUUGUAAAGCUCUUUCGCCUGCGAAGAUGAUGACGGUAGCAGGAUAAGAAGCCCCGGCUAACUUCGUGCCAGCAGCCGCGGUAAUACGAAGGGGGCGAGCGUUGUUCGGAAUUACUGGGCGUAAAGGGCGUGUAGGCGGCCAUUCAAGUCAGGGGUGAAAUCCCGGGGCUCAACCUCGGAACUGCCUUUGAAACUGGAUGGCUAGAGACCGGAAGAGGUGCGUGGAAUUCCCAGUGGAGAGGUGAAAUUCGUAGAGAUUGGGAGGAACACCGGCGGCGAAGGCGGCGCACUGGUCCGGAUCUGACGCUGAGGCGCGACAGCGUGGGGAGCAAACA
RNAcentral lists this ribosomal RNA (402 nucleotides) under uncultured bacterium. RNAcentral's name for it is "bacterial SSU rRNA". It matches the Rfam family "Bacterial small subunit ribosomal RNA", at positions 355 to 774 of the family's 1533-position model. The record is from RNAcentral.